CCUAGCUUCUCCCGAUAGUCACGAACUAGUCACGCUUCCAUCUCUACGCGGGCAGCUGGCUCACAGAAAAGCACGCGACUUGGCUUAUCAGACAGCGACAAUCGGCGAAAUGGUCUGAAAAGUGGCAGUGGGAGGGGGGAGUACGAGUAUUUGGGUUAAAAAGGCGUGCACGCAAUUUACUCCGCAAGGCGAGGACCGAAGAAGGGAUUCGUCGUUAAGAUCGCUUGGAGGGGGACUCUCGGUCUCGACCCGUUGAUGAUGCGUUUUAUUAGGAAGGAGUUCGGCUGCACAAGUAACAUAUGUAUCUCCCUCAGCUCCCGCAGCUCUUUCGCGAGCUCUGCCCCUCCGCCAACAGAAGAGGGGAUGCCAUCGGGGCUCCUUUCUGACAGCAGUCCCUCGAAAUAGAGGAAAGUGUUUGCCACAUUUUUUGCUUGGCAGACGCAGAGUGUCAGCCCACUGCGACGAGGGGAUGUUGCAGCCGAAACGAUUUCCAGAGCCACCGGUCCCGACCCUUUGUCUCUCGGUUUCUUUCCCGAACCCCCGGCUGUUACUCACAGUUGCGACGAAAUUGAAAAUAAAUUUUUAAUGAUUUGCUUCUGAA
Molecule: long non-coding RNA, 601 nt
Organism: Drosophila ficusphila
Lineage: Eukaryota; Metazoa; Arthropoda; Insecta; Diptera; Drosophilidae
Exons: 2
Source: RefSeq, a predicted model, not a curated record